RNAcentral lists this long non-coding RNA (1488 nucleotides) under Ananas comosus (pineapple). RNAcentral describes it as "long non-coding RNA (ACOM_LNC037349)". Lineage: Eukaryota; Viridiplantae; Streptophyta; Magnoliopsida; Poales; Bromeliaceae. The record is from RNAcentral.
UAGUUAGAUAUAAUUAUAAAUAUAGUAUAAUUUAAGGAGUUGAGCUGGAAUGCUAUUAGUAGCAAACGAGCUCUAUCGUUACCUAUUUAUUUUCGAUGAUGGAGUUUCCAAAUCGAUAAUCGACACCGCUGAGUAUAAUUUAUACCACUUGAAACAUCUAGAAAUCAUAUUUUAUACUUUUCGAUAUUGUUCUCUUGUCCAUCAAGUAAAUAAAAAAGUGAACGGCCAAAAAUGAAUAUCUUUUAAAAAGUAAUGAUAGGAGUUGUGUAACCAAGAUCAAGAGUACAGAUUUUAUUUUAAAAUAGUUUAAAAUUUUUUCUAAUCAAAAUUCAAUUCAUUUAAAUAUCUUUACGUCGUUAAAUGAGAAAACGUCUCAUAUUGUCCAUUAAAAUUACAGAUUUUGAAACCAUUUGAUCAUUAGGACAACAAUGUCGAAAAGAUUUGAAUUUUCGUUUGUAAAUAAUUCAAGUAGUAUAGAUCAUGUUCAACAGUGCCGAUCAUCGAUCUGGAGGCUCCAUUAUUGAAAACAAAUUGGUGGUAAUGUAGUCCGUUUGCUCUGGAUAGUAUUGCAGCUUAACUCUAAUUUAAGGGUGUAUUUGGUUUGGAUUAUUCUGAUAGGAUUAUUAGUGAUCUUGUUAGGAUUACUGCAUUUGGUUCAUCUGGUAUGUAAUCUGUUCAGUAUUAUAGCAUUACAGAAUGUGUAAGAUUACACCAAAAAUAUUACCAAGAGGAGUAGUGUGCAUCUUAGAUUAUUGAAAGUGGCUAAUAUUGCACGUUAUACAAAACUACAAGUUGACCCCUCCAACUCCCAAAACACUUUCAAUGCAUCAUUUUUAAAAUUUUAAUUUAAAAUUUUGAAUUGUCAACUUUUAAAUUUUAAAUUUAAAAUUUUUAAACUUUAAAUUUCAAUUUUCAAAUUUUAAAUUUUAAAUUUUAAAUUUAACUUAAAAUUUUAAAUUUUAAAUUUUAAAUUAUAAAUUUAACUUAAAAUUUUAAAUUUCAAAUUUUAAAUUUAAAUUAAAAUUUUAAAUUUAAAGUUUUUAAACUUUAAAUGUUAAAUUUUAAAAUAUGAAAUUUAUAAAUUUAAAAUCUUAAAUUUUAUAUUUUUGUUUAAAUUUGAAUUUAAAAUUUAAAAAAUUUAAAUUAUUUAAAAUAAAAUUUAGUAAAAAAAAUAUUAUUUGUAAAGAGUAAAAAAGGUUUGCCAAAUAUAACUAAGAGCAAUUUUGGAAUAGACUAUACUUUAUUGUUAAAAUUACUAAAUUUUAUAGAGUGAACCAAAUAUAGUAAUGAUAUAAACACUGCAAUCCAGUAUUACAUUGCCGUAUUAAACCAAACACGAUAAUGCAGCAUCAGUAAUAAUCUUAUUUAGAAAUCUAAGAUACCUACAUAUAUCGAAAUACUCUGUAACUAAACGCGCCCUAAGAUAUAUAUAAUUAUAAAUAUAGCAGUUAUAAAAACAUAGUAACUAUAAAUCUUUUGUUUACUUAU